UGGGAAUACAGAAUUGACUAAAAGAUUCCAAUCUUCCCAGCCCGUGCUCCAAAUUCCUAUUGAAAUUGCCAAAAGAAUAUUAUAAUAAAAAUCCAUUAUUACUGGAAACCAGAGAAAGGUACCAUUCUCACACAAUAAACUUCAAGGAAUUCCUCUAAGCUAUAGUACAGGUGCAACUGGAUUGAGAGAAGGGCCCGCCUACACAGGUGUUUCCUGGGCAUUCAUUUUAUGCAUUUUCUACAGAUGAAAAGCUACCUUGGGACCAGCAGAAGUCACUCACAAGCAUGUCUAACUCAGAGCAGGUGGGAAGAUGAAUGGGGGAGACCUCAGUUCUGCUGGUGCUUCUGAUCAUGCAUUCGGUGCAGCAGGGAGGAAAAGGCUACUCAGGAGGAAGAGGCUGCUGCAGUGCUUUUACCAAAGAGGCCCUUCAGACACCUGAGAGAUGCGUCUGUGUGAGGAACGGAAGACUGCUCAUCCUGAAGGAAACAAUUAUACAGAGUAUCAGAGUUUAAUUUCACACUUGCCACACAGAAAGAAGGGCAUGAGUUAGCCUUUGCAAAGACCUUUCUCCCAGAAGUUUGCACGGGGAAACACAAUGAGGGGUGUGUUUAGCGCCAGUAGGUUCCUCUCCAGAGAACACUUUCUGAGUAAAACCUCCUAAUCUCAGUGGAGUCUUAUCUAAAAAUUGAGAAUGCUGUUUCCCAGGAGAACUGCCAAUUAUGUUACACAAACUUCUGUCUCAAACCAUAUUCAGGAUCAUUGUCUUUCUUACCAGGUUACAAAACACCUAUCAGGCUGAUGGUCCAAUCAUCUCACUUCAAGGGAAAAAAAAAAAAAAAAAACCAAUAUCUAAUCUACUGUUUUAGACCACAUCCUAAGCCAACCUCAUGUGCAUAAGAUGG
Molecule: long non-coding RNA, 902 nt
Filed under: Cavia porcellus (domestic guinea pig)
Lineage: Eukaryota; Metazoa; Chordata; Mammalia; Rodentia; Caviidae
Description: lncRNA (ENSCPOG00000030286.1)
Source: RNAcentral